Molecule: ribosomal RNA, 479 nt
Filed under: uncultured bacterium
Lineage: Bacteria
Description: bacterial SSU rRNA
Rfam family: Bacterial small subunit ribosomal RNA
Source: RNAcentral
GAUGAACGCUAGCGGCAGGCCUAACACAUGCAAGUCGAGGGGUAGUUACUUUCGGGUAAUGAGACCGGCGCACGGGUGCGUAACGCGUAUGCAAUCUACCUUUUACAGGGGAAUAGCCCAGAGAAAUUUGGAUUAAUGCCCCAUAGUAUGUAUGAAUCGCAUGGUUUAUACAUUAAAGUUCCAACGGUAAAAGAUGAGCAUGCGUCCCAUUAGUUAGUUGGUAAGGUAACGGCUUACCAAGACGAUGAUGGGUAGGGGUUCUGAGAGGGAGAUCCCCCACACUGGUACUGAGACACGGACCAGACUCCUACGGGAGGCAGCAGUGAGGAAUAUUGGACAAUGGGCGCAAGCCUGAUCCAGCCAUGCCGCGUGCAGGAAGAAGCAUCUAUGGUGUGUAAACUGCUUUUUGUACGGGAAGAAACACUCCUACGUUGUAGGAGCUUGACGGUACCGUAAGNGUAAGGAUCGGCUAACUCCGU